AGUGGUGUGUGGUGUCGUGGUGUUGUAGACAUGAAACUGUGAGGUGCUGCGUGUUGAUGAGUAGUGUGGCAGUGCGGUAGUGUUGAUGGGGUGAUAGACUGUGGCAGCUUGUUUACGAUACACCGCAGGCGUGCCUAGAUGUUGUGGUCCAUCCAGAACCACCCCACCCCAACCCUCCCCCAGUUGAGACAACAGUCUCCUGAAACGUCCUGUUGUGGGGUAGCACGAGGGAAGCUGUCACCAAAUUCGCCCGUGGUUUCCUGCUAGCAUUUGUACCAGGAACUUUGGGAAUGCAGUAACCUCUGGAAAGAUCGCGUCUUCGGGAUACCAUAUCCGUUCGCUGACCACGAUACCUAUCUAUGUCUGUGAGCUUGUCUGUCUUCCGAGUCCACUCUUCAUACCCCUCAAAGAGACAGAGGAAGCUGGUUGGUCUGCAGCUGAAGAGUUAGGUGGAAGGGGACGAGGAGGACCAAGAGUGGACCCCGAUCGUUCCGGCCAUGACUCUGGUCUCCCCCAAGGAGUCGCCCCAUGCCGUGGUGCUGCCCCAGGCCCACGCCUUCUCCAUCACACAGCACCAGCAACAGCAGUAGUAGCAGCACUUUCUACAGCAGCAGGAGCAGUAAAGCAUCAGGACUGUCUUUGGUCUUUGUGAUCAUGCCUUCACCAAUUCGUCUCCCAGUCGCAUCUCCAGGGACAGGAAGGGCAUAGACCGGGGCCUCUUCCCCACUUACUUCCUGCAUGUGGAGCGAGACGACGGAAAAAAAAGAUGUUCCUCCUCGCUGGACGAAAACGAAAGAAGUCAGCAACCUCAAGCUAUCUGAUUUCUGCUGACCCAACUGAUUAGGCCCGAGGUGGUGAGUCUCUAUGGGAAGCUGAGGUCGAAUCUCCUGGGGACGCAGUUCACCAUAUAUGAUGGAGGUGAAGGUCGCAAGAAGACACUGUCCUCAUCCACUACCACUGACAAGCAAAGCUUGUGUGCUGUGAUCUAUGUAAACAGUGGUUGAGCCUGGAUUGUGGGUGUCCUGUAUUCAGGGGCUGGUUUUUCAUCAUCAGCUGAAGCAGCAACUGCAUGACAAAAGCCUUU
Molecule: long non-coding RNA, 1084 nt
Organism: Eriocheir sinensis (Chinese mitten crab)
Lineage: Eukaryota; Metazoa; Arthropoda; Malacostraca; Decapoda; Varunidae
Exons: 3
Source: RefSeq, a predicted model, not a curated record